This is a long non-coding RNA of Sciurus carolinensis (gray squirrel), 523 nucleotides long. RefSeq lists it as uncharacterized. The transcript is spliced from 4 exons. The record is from RefSeq and is a predicted model, not a curated record. NCBI's taxonomy places the organism in Eukaryota, Metazoa, Chordata, Mammalia, Rodentia, Sciuridae.
GCAAACAUUUGAGUUGGGCCUUGAGGGAUGAAUAGAAGUUCUCUGGAAGGUGACAGAAGGACCAGCCUGCCAGUCAGAAGAGCUUUCACGAGGCACCCAGAUGUGAAACCAUGGAAGUUUCAGGAAACCAUGAGGAAACCGAGGCCCCGGAUAAGUGGAUUACGUGCCGUGAAAGACCCCAUCCAUCGGAGGCCUGGCGGUUGCACCCAGCUGCCUUCCAAAUCUGAAAACGGACUUGGAUCAAAAUCUCUGUCUGCACUGGCGGCGACAGUCGGGUCUGCUUUGCUAAGCAGGGACGGGUGAAGACACAGGCCUCUGGAGAUGGCAAUAUUUUCCUCCUUGACACAGCCAAGGGCUUGCAAAAUACCACGCUCCCAGGACAGCCAAGGGAAGUUGCCCUUCCCCCCGGCGGCACCCACUUCCUCCCAGGCCCAGGAGAGAGGGGGCCUGGCUACUAUCUCCCUGGACAGUAGUCAGCGAGCCUUCGACCAGGAAACACACAGCAGGCGCCAAUGAAGGAGGG